GGCGCGCAAUUACCCAAUCCUGACACAGGGAGGUAGUGACAAUAAAUAACAAUUCAGAGCCUAACUGGUUUUGCAAUUGGAAUGAGUACAAUUUAAAUCCCUUAACGAGAAUCAAUUGGAGGGCAAGUCUGGUGCCAGCAGCCGCGGUAAUUCCAGCUCCGAUAGCGUAUAUUAAAGUUGUUGCAGUUAAAAAGCUCGUAGUUGAAUUUUGGGCCCGACUGAGUGGUCUUGCCUCGUUGUAAGCACUGCUCUGGUUGGGUCUUUCCUUCUGGCUAACCAGCUGCCUUUCAUUGGGUUGGCUGGGGCUCCAGGACUUUUACUUUGAAAAAAUUAGAGUGUUCAAAGCAGGCAUUUUUUAGCUUGAAUACAUUAGCAUGGAAUAAUAAAAUAGGACUUUGGUUCUAUUUUGUUGGCUUCUAGGACCGAAGUAAUGAUUAAUAGGGAUAGUUGGGGACGUUAGUAUUUAGUUGUCAGAGGUGAAAUUCUUAGAUUUACGAAAGACUAACUUCUGCGAAAGCAUUCGUCAAGGAUGUUUUCAUUAAUCAAGAACGAAAGUUAGGGGAUCGAAGACGAUCAGAUACCGUCGUAGUCUUAACCAUAAACUAUGCCGACUAGGGAUCGGACGACGUAUAAUUAUUGACUCGUUCGGCACCUUAUGAGAAAUCAAAGUUUUUGGGGUUCCGGGGG
Molecule: ribosomal RNA, 687 nt
Filed under: uncultured eukaryote
Lineage: Eukaryota
Description: SSU rRNA
Rfam family: Eukaryotic small subunit ribosomal RNA
Source: RNAcentral